RNAcentral lists this ribosomal RNA (454 nucleotides) under uncultured bacterium. RNAcentral describes it as "partial 16S ribosomal RNA". It matches the Rfam family "Bacterial small subunit ribosomal RNA", at positions 28 to 507 of the family's 1533-position model. The record is from RNAcentral.
GAUGAACGCUGACAGAAUGCUUAACACAUGCAAGUCUACUUGAACUUCGGUUUGGGUGGCGGACGGGUGAGUAACGCGUAAAGAGCUUGCCCCACAGUUAGGGACAACAUUUGGAAACGAAUGCUAAUACCUGAUAUUAUGAUUUUAGGGCAUCCUAGGAUUAUGAAAGCUAUAUGUGCUGUGAGAGAGCUUUGCGUCCCAUUAGCUAGUUGGAGAGGUAACGGCUCACCAAGGCGAUGAUGGGUAGCCGGCCUGAGAGGGUGAACGGCCACAAGGGGACUGAGACACGGCCCUUACUCCUACGGGAGGCAGCAGUGGGGAAUAUUGGACAAUGGACCAAAAGUCUGAUCCAGCAAUUCUGUGUGCACGAUGACGUUUUUCGGAAUGUAAAGUGCUUUCAGUUGGGAAGAAAAAAAUGACGGUACCAACAGAAGAAGUGACGGCUAAAUACGUG